RNAcentral lists this long non-coding RNA (182 nucleotides) under Mus spicilegus (steppe mouse). RNAcentral's name for it is "lncRNA (ENSMSIG00000017565.1)". The record is from RNAcentral. Lineage: Eukaryota; Metazoa; Chordata; Mammalia; Rodentia; Muridae.
UAAUAAAGUCCUGCAUGGUUACCUAUCUGCUGUUUGUUUAUUAUAGAGCUUCCAAGACCCGUUUUCAAAAGUCUCAUGGAUUUUCUAGAAACAUGCUGUUGUUUUCCAGAAAAGAGGAAAAAGAAUGUCCACCCUGCCUUUGCUCAAAGGCCCAUGGACGCAGUGCACAAAUUAGAGAUGAG